Molecule: long non-coding RNA, 209 nt
Filed under: Homo sapiens (human)
Lineage: Eukaryota; Metazoa; Chordata; Mammalia; Primates; Hominidae
Description: HSALNT0385068
Source: RNAcentral
UUAUCUUCUGAAAGAGAUUGUAGAGAAUUGAUCAAAGGGCCCCCUGGCUACUAAGGAAGAUGAAUGAAGAAAGGGCCCAUACAUGGACACCUACUUCAUAGUAAAAUCUGAGGACAUGAAGUAUAAAGAGGACAUUCUGAACACUUCAAGAGACAGCACCCUUAGCUAGGCAUGCAGACAGGAUCUCACUGUCACCCAGGCUGGAGUAC